UCCUCUGUAGCUCAGUGGUUAUAGCACUGGUCUAGUAAACCAGGGGUCUAGAGUUCGAGUCUCUCCAGAGGCU
Nematostella vectensis (starlet sea anemone) is the source of this 73-nucleotide non-coding RNA. The record is from Rfam. Lineage: Eukaryota; Metazoa; Cnidaria; Anthozoa; Actiniaria; Edwardsiidae.